This 1401-nucleotide ribosomal RNA is filed under the name Staphylococcus aureus M0468. Its description in RNAcentral is "bacterial SSU rRNA". It matches the Rfam family "Bacterial small subunit ribosomal RNA". Lineage: Bacteria; Bacillati; Bacillota; Bacilli; Caryophanales; Staphylococcaceae. The record is from RNAcentral.
AGAGUUUGAUCCUGGCUCAGGAUGAACGCUGGCGGCGUGCCUAAUACAUGCAAGUCGAGCGAACGGACGAGAAGCUUGCUUCUCUGAUGUUAGCGGCGGACGGGUGAGUAACACGUGGAUAACCUACCUAUAAGACUGGGAUAACUUCGGGAAACCGGAGCUAAUACCGGAUGAUAUUUUGAACCGCAUGGUUCAAAAGUGAAAGACGGUCUUGCUGUCACUUAUAGAUGGAUCCGCGCUGCAUUAGCUAGUUGGUAAGGUAACGGCUUACCAAGGCAACGAUGCAUAGCCGACCUGAGAGGGUGAUCGGCCACACUGGAACUGAGACACGGUCCAGACUCCUACGGGAGGCAGCAGUAGGGAAUCUUCCGCAAUGGGCGAAAGCCUGACGGAGCAACGCCGCGUGAGUGAUGAAGGUCUUCGGAUCGUAAAACUCUGUUAUUAGGGAAGAACAUAUGUGUAAGUAACUGUGCACAUCUUGACGGUACCUAAUCAGAAAGCCACGGCUAACUACGUGCCAGCAGCCGCGGUAAUACGUAGGUGGCAAGCGUUAUCCGGAAUUAUUGGGCGUAAAGCGCGCGUAGGCGGUUUUUUAAGUCUGAUGUGAAAGCCCACGGCUCAACCGUGGAGGGUCAUUGGAAACUGGAAAACUUGAGUGCAGAAGAGGAAAGUGGAAUUCCAUGUGUAGCGGUGAAAUGCGCAGAGAUAUGGAGGAACACCAGUGGCGAAGGCGACUUUCUGGUCUGUAACUGACGCUGAUGUGCGAAAGCGUGGGGAUCAAACAGGAUUAGAUACCCUGGUAGUCCACGCCGUAAACGAUGAGUGCUAAGUGUUAGGGGGUUUCCGCCCCUUAGUGCUGCAGCUAACGCAUUAAGCACUCCGCCUGGGGAGUACGACCGCAAGGUUGAAACUCAAAGGAAUUGACGGGGACCCGCACAAGCGGUGGAGCAUGUGGUUUAAUUCGAAGCAACGCGAAGAACCUUACCAAAUCUUGACAUCCUUUGACAACUCUAGAGAUAGAGCCUUCCCCUUCGGGGGACAAAGUGACAGGUGGUGCAUGGUUGUCGUCAGCUCGUGUCGUGAGAUGUUGGGUUAAGUCCCGCAACGAGCGCAACCCUUAAGCUUAGUUGCCAUCAUUAAGUUGGGCACUCUAAGUUGACUGCCGGUGACAAACCGGAGGAAGGUGGGGAUGACGUCAAAUCAUCAUGCCCCUUAUGAUUUGGGCUACACACGUGCUACAAUGGACAAUACAAAGGGCAGCGAAACCGCGAGGUCAAGCAAAUCCCAUAAAGUUGUUCUCAGUUCUGAUUGUAGUCUGCAACUCGACUACAUGAAGCUGGAAUCGCUAGUAAUCGUAGAUCAGCAUGCUACGGUGAAUACGUUCCCGGGUCUUGUACACAC